CGUGCCAGCAGCCGCGGUAAUACGAAGGGGGCUAGCGUUGCUCGGAAUUACUGGGCGUAAAGGGCGCGUAGGCGGAUAUCUAAGUCGGGGGUGAAAGCCCGGGGCUCAACCUCGGAAUUGCCUUCGAUACUGGAUAUCUUGAGUUCGGGAGAGGUGAGUGGAAUGCCGAGUGUAGAGGUGAAAUUCGUAGAUAUUCGGCGGAACACCAGUGGCGAAGGCGACUCACUGGCCCGAUACUGACGCUGAGGCGCGAAAGCGUGGGGAGCAAACAGGAUUAGAUACCCUGGUAGUCCACGCUGUAAACGAUGAGUGCUAGUUGUCGGCAUGCAUGCAUGUCGGUGACGCAGCUAACGCAUUAAGCACUCCGCCUGGGGAGUACGGUCGCAAGAUUAAAACUCAA
RNAcentral lists this ribosomal RNA (400 nucleotides) under Phenylobacterium sp. RNAcentral describes it as "bacterial SSU rRNA". It matches the Rfam family "Bacterial small subunit ribosomal RNA", at positions 504 to 904 of the family's 1533-position model. Lineage: Bacteria; Pseudomonadati; Pseudomonadota; Alphaproteobacteria; Caulobacterales; Caulobacteraceae. The record is from RNAcentral.